UCUCACAGUUUGGACUCAUGGUUUCUUAUUUUAUUCAAGGAGUUAAAAUCAAUUACUAUCAUUAUUGAUUUUGAUGCACAGAGAGAUCCAGAUUUGCCCUAUGGGAACUCCUGCACAGUACUUUCUGGGCCUUAUUGAUGUGCCCCCUGUUCUUUGAGCAUAUACUUCCUUUCUAGCACAGCAAGAUUUUCGAUUCGAGGCUUUUAUACUUUCCCUGUGCCAGGCCUGCAAUCAACCAUUUCUACAAGGGGCUCUAGCUCCCUUCAGAAGACAAAAUUCAAGUGCUUGAGGCUUUGAUCUCUCUCAGUGAAGACAGCCAGAGAGCAUAUCUCCCCAUGAGUUCAUACCAGUGCUGCCAAUGCCAAUCCAACACCACUGGAGUGGUUCUUUUGUCUUUUUUCAUACUUGCUACACUCCUUCCUAACAGUAGGGAGCCUGGCUUCUAUUACUUUGAUAUGCAAGGGUUUACUGAAAUAUAUAGUGAAUAUUUAAAAUUUUAAAAAUUAUUACAAUAAAAGACACAUUGCCAUUAACUCUCCUCAAGAUACUCCCCCUUAUUUUGAACACAAUUAUCCCAUUCUCCUGGCCACUUUCUGAAGCAGUUCUGGAAGUCCUCUUUCAUGAGUGUCUUUCUGAGGUGUGAUUAAAGAAACAUGGUGAAUGCUACUGCUGAGUGCCACCCAACAGAAAGGCCGGCUUGUAAAACCAUUUAGUGUGUUCUCAUUCACUACAUCUGGCACCAUGAGAUUUCUGGCUCUUUCCCAACGUCAAAAUGACCUUGAAAGGUUAAUGUUUUGAAUCAGUUCAGGACAACCAGGCAUCCACAACAGCACAAGUAAAGAUACACAUGAGAGAGGACCUCCAGAACUACUUCAGAAAGUGGCAAGAAUUAUGGGAGUCUCCAGCCUUAAUUGCAAGCUUCCAGCCCCAGCCUGGCUCUUGGAAUGUUCCCCAUGUGGAUGCAGAUCAAAACUCAGCUGGGAGAUUUCUGACCCACCCAUGGCUUCAGAGUUGGCUUAAUCCCAUCCAGCCUGCAGAUUCCACACCUCAGAGCCUGCCCUCACGCUUUCUGGAGUCUAGAUCUGGCAAACAUUUGCUAGAAGCCCUCAGCCUUGGGAUCCUGUUCAACUGAUGAGGAAACUGAAACACACAGAAGCCAAGCAGUAUGGUGCAAUACAUCUUUGGAAGCAGAGACUGGCUCCAAGUCAGUGCUUUGUCAUUUACUAAUUCUGCCACCUUGGAAUGAAUGCUGGGAGGAGACAGCAGCUAGAAGAGUCCUCACAUUGCUUCCCUAGCCUGUGGAUUGUCGGAGAAAGUGUCAAGUAGAAGUCUGGAAACUGUUUCUCACCUACCUCUCCUCUGCCCAGAAAGCAUAGCAAAGACAACAGUGCAUCUGCUGGAGACUUGCAGAAAUGGAUGCCCACAUCAAAGAUGGAAGAGACGUGGGGCAGUCCUUCCUGUUACAUCCCCUUCACUUGCAUUUUGACUGGUGCAGAAACCAGAUGGGUCCUAGAGAAUAAAGCCUGUUCUCCUACACAUAAUCACAAGAUGAUGCUGAGAGAAGCUGCCGUUCACCUGUCCUACUGGAGGAAGUCACACAGACCUGACACCUCGUCUGGAGCCAUUGGCUGAGAAAAUAUUUUCUUUCCAUUUCUAUCAGUAUGGGAAAUCAAAAGUAGCAUGAGGAACAAUGGUAUGCCUUUACUUGUUUUGUCCCCAGAGCCAUGUUACCUCUCCAGUUCCCUGUCAUAAUAGGGCUCAAGGGGACCUCAGAUGAGCUUGAUAUCUCACAGGACAUUGAACUGUCUGAUUAUACUGAUGUCAUUUUGCUAAUUGGAUGGGGUGUUUAGGAAAGUCCUACAAGUGACACAUCUCAGAGAGAGAAAGAUAGAGCCAGCAAAAGCUCAGAAGGUUUUCACACUGGAGUCCAUUUGGUCCAGAAUCAUGUCAGGGUAUCUUUUCUAAAGCCAGAGGUGAGUUGUGGUGCCUUGUACUACCCAUCACAUAAAAAGGGUAUAGCUAUUGGUGAGUCUGUUUGGAUGGGGGGAAUGUACGCCACAUACCACUGUAUUGCUCUGACUCAUUCAUCAGGUAGCCCAUGUAUCAGCUGCCAUUUUGGAGUGGAGUUCGCAGCAAGGAAGAGCCAUGCAGCAGAUUCAGGCCAGCUGCCCUGCCACUGCGCCUUGUGACCCCACAGCACCAGUAGUGUUUGUAGCAGGCCAGGAGGCCAUGUGGAACCACAUACAAGUUCUGGCAAGAGAAUCACAUUGUAGAACCCUAGGAUUUUUAAA
Long non-coding RNA from Fukomys damarensis (Damara mole-rat), 2291 nucleotides. RefSeq lists it as uncharacterized. The record is from RefSeq and is a predicted model, not a curated record. NCBI's taxonomy places the organism in Eukaryota, Metazoa, Chordata, Mammalia, Rodentia, Bathyergidae. The transcript has 4 exons.